Non-coding RNA from Schistosoma curassoni, 48 nucleotides. The record is from Rfam. Lineage: Eukaryota; Metazoa; Platyhelminthes; Trematoda; Strigeidida; Schistosomatidae.
AUCCAGCUCACGAGUCCCAAAUAGGACGAAAUGUGCGUCCAACUGGAU